RNAcentral lists this ribosomal RNA (253 nucleotides) under uncultured bacterium. RNAcentral's name for it is "partial 16S ribosomal RNA". It matches the Rfam family "Bacterial small subunit ribosomal RNA", at positions 524 to 776 of the family's 1533-position model. The record is from RNAcentral.
UACGGGGGGGGCAAGCGUUGUUCGGAAUUACUGGGCGUAAAGGGCUCGUAGGUGGCCAACUAAGUCAGACGUGAAAUCCCUCGGCUUAACCGGGGAACUGCGUCUGAUACUGGAUGGCUUGAGUUUGGGAGAGGGAUGCGGAAUUCCAGGUGUAGCGGUGAAAUGCGUAGAUAUCUGGAGGAACACCGGUGGCGAAGGCGGCAUCCUGGACCAAUACUGACGCUGAAUAGCGAAAGCCAGGGGAGCAAACGGG